GCUAACGUUGGCGGCGUGCCUAACACAUGCAAGUCGAACGCGCCGUAGCAAUACGGUGAGUGGCAGACGGGUGAGUAACACGUGGGUAAUCUCCCUCCGAGCGGGGAAUAAGCACUCGAAAGGGUGUCUAAUACCGCAUGAAGCUUCGGGGCUUAAGCCUUCGAAGUUAAAGCCGCAAGGCGCUUGGAGAUGAGCCUGCGUCCUAUUAGCUAGUUGGUAGGGUAAUGGCCUACCAAGGCUGAGAUGGGUAGCCGGCCUGAGAGGGUGAACGGCCACACUGGGACUGAGACACGGCCCAGACUCCUACGGGAGGCAGCAGUGAGGAAUUUUGCGCAAUGGGGGAAACCCUGACGCAGCGACGCCGCGUGGAGGAUGAAGGCCUUCGGGUCGUAAACUCCUGUCAGAGGUGAAGAACGCCCGCAAGGGCUUGACGGUAACCUCAGAGGAAGCCCCGGCCAACUACGU
This 465-nucleotide ribosomal RNA is filed under the name uncultured bacterium. RNAcentral's name for it is "bacterial SSU rRNA". It matches the Rfam family "Bacterial small subunit ribosomal RNA", at positions 29 to 506 of the family's 1533-position model. The record is from RNAcentral.